AUUGAACGCUGGCGGCAUGCCUUACACAUGCAAGUCGAACGGUAACAGGUCUUCGGAUGCUGACGAGUGGCGAACGGGUGAGUAAUACAUCGGAACGUGCCCGAGAGUGGGGGAUAACGAAGCGAAAGCUUUGCUAAUACCGCAUACGAUCUCAGGAUGAAAGCAGGGGACCGCAAGGCCUUGCGCUCACGGAGCGGCCGAUGGCAGAUUAGGUAGUUGGUGGGGUAAAGGCCCACCAAGGCGACGAUCCGUAGCUGGUCUGAGAGGAUGAUCAGCCACACUGGGACUGAGACACGGCCCAGACUCCUACGGGAGGCAGCAGUGGGGAAUAUUGGACAAUGGGCGCAAGCCUGAUCCAGCAAUGCCGCGUGGGUGAAGAAGGCCUUCGGGUUGUAAAGCCCUUUUGUACGGAGAAAUCUACGUUGAUUAAUACCUGACGAGAGUGACGGUACCGUAAGAAUAAGACACCGGCGUAACUUCGUGCCAGCAGCCG
Molecule: ribosomal RNA, 493 nt
Filed under: uncultured bacterium
Lineage: Bacteria
Description: bacterial SSU rRNA
Rfam family: Bacterial small subunit ribosomal RNA
Source: RNAcentral